AUGCCACCUCACCAUGUAGUAACAUGCAUGCAAAAAUCUCCACCUCAACAUGCAACCAUGCAUUUAAAAAAAUCCCAUCUCAACAUGGAAACAUGCUUGACAAUUUUCAUUCUGUUAUGCUAUUUAUGUUUAGUAAAUAUUUUACAACUAUAUACUAACCAAACAAAAAGAAUCAUAUGUAGUUUUUGUUUCAGUUCUCAUACUAUUACUUCAAAUAUUCACGUUCUGUACAAUCAAAUCUCAUUACAAAUAUAUCGCAAAUCAUUUCCGCAACAACGUGCAUGGUAUCAUCUAGUACUUCAUAAAUUUGAGUACCCCGGUAGAAAGUAA
Molecule: ribosomal RNA, 330 nt
Filed under: Triticum aestivum (bread wheat)
Lineage: Eukaryota; Viridiplantae; Streptophyta; Magnoliopsida; Poales; Poaceae
Description: partial small subunit ribosomal RNA
Source: RNAcentral